Molecule: non-coding RNA, 71 nt
Organism: Podarcis lilfordi (Lilford's wall lizard)
Lineage: Eukaryota; Metazoa; Chordata; Lepidosauria; Squamata; Lacertidae
Source: the annotation of a GenBank genome assembly
GGGUUUUAGCUCAGUGGUAGAACAUCUGCCAUGCAUGCAGAAGGUCUUAGGUUCAAUCCCCAACAUACCCA